This 57-nucleotide small RNA is filed under the name Helianthus annuus (common sunflower). Lineage: Eukaryota; Viridiplantae; Streptophyta; Magnoliopsida; Asterales; Asteraceae. The record is from RNAcentral.
CACUGGUCGAGAGUUGGCACCGCUCUGCUGAUGAGUCUAAGACGGAUGAAACCAGUA